UUCCUCCUCCUCCUCCUCCUCCUCCUCCUCCUUUCAUAUCACAACUCCCCUCUUCUCCUUCCUGAUCCAAACCAACACUUCUCCCCUCCUCCUCCUCCUCCCCUCUCUUCAUCAUCCUCGUUAUCAGAAACUCUUUUUCCGGUGUUUGUGUGUGUGUGUGUGUGUGUGUGUGUGUGUGUGUGUGUGUGUAAUUAAAGGCCACGCACGCAGGUAAGUCAGGUAAACACGGGAAUUGUCUGCCCAAACCGCUGAAUUGGGUAAAAUUAUGCCGCCCCGAACGCUAAGAAUAGGAAGGAUAGAGAAGGCUGUGGAGGAGGAGGGAGACGGAAGCGGGGUAACCUUAUGCUGUUAUUUGCCUUAGAAAAUGCCGGCUGUUCUUUAUUCAUUAGGGAAAGGCGAGGAGGAGAAUUAACACAAGAAAAAGGAAAGUUAGAGAAAGAGAAAGUACAAGGAAAGGUUUUAGAAGAAGGUGGGUUUUGUGGGGUAACCUUAAGCUGUUAUUUGCCUUAGAAGAUGACUGCUAUUGUUUAUGCAUUAAGGAAAGGCGAGGAGGAGAAUUAACACAAGAAGAAGGAAAGCUAGAGAAAGAGAAAGUACAAGGAAAGGUUUUAGAAGAAGGUGGGUUUUGUGGGGUAAUCUUAAGCUGUUAUUUGCCUUAGAAAAUGCCGGCUGUUCUUUAUUCAUUAGGGAAAGGCGAGGAGGAGAAUUAACACAAGAAAAA
This is a long non-coding RNA of Eriocheir sinensis (Chinese mitten crab), 721 nucleotides long. RefSeq lists it as uncharacterized. Lineage: Eukaryota; Metazoa; Arthropoda; Malacostraca; Decapoda; Varunidae. The transcript has 2 exons. The record is from RefSeq and is a predicted model, not a curated record.